Molecule: long non-coding RNA, 698 nt
Filed under: Anser brachyrhynchus (Pink-footed goose)
Lineage: Eukaryota; Metazoa; Chordata; Aves; Anseriformes; Anatidae
Description: lncRNA (ENSABRG00000019870.1)
Source: RNAcentral
UACAAACAACUGCUUUCAAGCUUCUAAAAAAACAGACACAAAAAUAAUAUUGCUUAGACAAAAUACCUUGGGAAGAAGCUCUCAAGAUUUGUUCCAGCCAAGAAAGCAGAUGUGUAUGUCUCUAUUGACCAUGUAAAGAGCAGCACUGAAGGGACAGACGUUCCUUAUGGGGCACAUUCUUAAAGCUUUACUUCUUCUUCCUAUUUUUUUCUGACAUUUGCUGUGUUUUAUAUUCUCUGGCAACCAGCAGAGCUCCACCGAUGCUGACUUGCAGAGCCCAUAGAGAUACUAAGGAAAUAUUUUUCCUAGCAACAAGCGUCACACAAAAACAUGAAGAAAUGCUUCCCCUGCUCAUAUUUCCUUUCAAUUUUUUCAGUCAUCUGGUGCUGAGAUAAGAGCUGCGUGGUGAAACCUGCUGCUAGUUUGUGUUUCAUGGGCAACCUGGAGUACCGAGGAGCACGUCAGGCCUUGACGCCCACCAUUACAGCAGCGUGGAGCCCUGUCUGACACAGCAGUGUGUGGUGUUGCCUAAGAUGGUGGCCGCCCUCGGCCUGGCAGGAGAGUGGAUAAAUGUGAUAAUGCUUUCUGAGGCCGGGGCUUGCAAGCAAGGCAUUGCAGCCCUGCUGCUCACCCUGUCUGAGGUGUCUGUUGCCACACCCUCUGGCUCAGCCAUGCUGAAACAGUGCUUACAGAUGUGA